GACGAACGCUGGCGGCGUGCCUAAUACAUGCAAGUAGAACGCACAGUUUAUACCGUAGCUUGCUACACCAUAGACUGUGAGUUGCGAACGGGUGAGUAACGCGUAGGUAACCUGCCUGGUAGCGGGGGAUAACUAUUGGAAACGAUAGCUAAUACCGCAUAAUAUUGAUUAUUGCAUGAUAAUUAAUUGAAAGGUGCAAUUGCACCACUACCAGAUGGACCUGCGUUGUAUUAGCUAGUAGGUGAGGUAACGGCUCACCUAGGCGACGAUACAUAGCCGACCUGAGAGGGUGAUCGGCCACACUGGGACUGAGACACGGCCCAGAAUCCUACGGGAGGCAGCAGUAGGGAAUCUUCGGCAAUGGACGAAAGUCUGACCGAGCAACGCCGCGUGAGUGAAGAAGGAUUUCGGAUCGUAAAGAUCUGUUGUAAGAGAAGAACGGGGGUGAGAGUGGAAAGUUCACACUGUGACGGUAUCUUACCAGAAAGGGACGGCUAACUACGUG
RNAcentral lists this ribosomal RNA (505 nucleotides) under uncultured bacterium. RNAcentral describes it as "partial 16S ribosomal RNA". It matches the Rfam family "Bacterial small subunit ribosomal RNA", at positions 28 to 507 of the family's 1533-position model. The record is from RNAcentral.